Molecule: microRNA precursor, 59 nt
Filed under: Ornithorhynchus anatinus (platypus)
Lineage: Eukaryota; Metazoa; Chordata; Mammalia; Monotremata; Ornithorhynchidae
Description: Oan-Mir-10-P3b_pre stem-loop
Source: RNAcentral
UCCCUGAGACCCUUUAACCUGUGAGACGUGCGGGGUCACAGGUGAGGUUCUCGGGAGCC